This 443-nucleotide ribosomal RNA is filed under the name uncultured bacterium. RNAcentral's name for it is "partial 16S ribosomal RNA". It matches the Rfam family "Bacterial small subunit ribosomal RNA", at positions 338 to 795 of the family's 1533-position model. The record is from RNAcentral.
CCUACGGGUGACAGCAGUGGGGAAUAUUGGGCAAUGGAGGAAACUCUGACCCAGCAACGCCGCGUGAAUGAUGAAGGUCUUCGGAUUGUAAAGUUCUUUUCUAAGGGAAGAAGAAAGUGAAGGUACCUUAGGAAUAAGCCUCGGCUAACUACGUGCCAGCAGCCGCGGGAAUACGUAGGAGGCAAGCGUUAUCCGGAAUGACUGGGCGUAAAGGGUGCGUAGGUGGUGUGAUAAGUUGGUAGCGUAACUCCGAGGCUCACCAUCGGCACUACUAUCAAAACUGUCGGACUUGAGUGCAGGGGGGGCAACUGGAAUUUCUAGUGUAGCGGUGGAAUGCGUAGAUAUCAGGCGGAACACCAGUUGCGAAGGCGAGUUGCUGGACCGUAACUGACACUGAGGCACGAAAGCGUGGGUAUCAAACAGGAUUAGAUACCCGAGUAGUC